CGAGUUGGCUGUACGGCAGCGGUGUGCAUCAGCACACUGAGGAAAGUCCGAGCAUCGCAGAGCAGGGUAGUUGAUAACGUCAACCGAGGGCGACCUCCGAGCCAGUGCAACAGAAAUAUACCGCCUUCUGUAUAGAAGGUAAGGGUGGAAAGGCGAGGUAAGAGCUCACCGGAGCGUCAGUGAUGACGCUGCCAUGUAAACCUUACCCGAUGCAACGCCAAUGGCAGUGGUAUGUUCAAUGGCUGCUCGUCAGAGCAUACGCUGUAGGCGGCUGGAGCUGUGCGGCAACGUACAGCCAAGAUAGAUUGCCGUACUCGACAAAACUCGGCUUACAGGUCGGCUCGCUUA
This 348-nucleotide RNase P RNA is filed under the name Ruminococcus sp. YE71. RNAcentral describes it as "Bacterial RNase P class A". It matches the Rfam family "Bacterial RNase P class A". Rfam says of the family: Ribonuclease P (RNase P) is a ubiquitous endoribonuclease, found in archaea, bacteria and eukarya as well as chloroplasts and mitochondria. The record is from Rfam by way of RNAcentral. Lineage: Bacteria; Bacillati; Bacillota; Clostridia; Eubacteriales; Oscillospiraceae. RNAcentral also lists the same sequence under 1 other name.